ACACACUGACCUUAUCCCAGCCCCUCGUUCCCCCAUGCAGGUGGUUGCCGUUGUUGUUGAUGGUGAGGGUGUACUGCUGUCCCUCCACCACCAGCUUGCCCUUCCCGAUGCGAUUGGCACAGCGACCAAUGGAGCUUCCCUGGGUGACAUGGUCCUUCUUCCCAGACUUGUCAGGCACCACAAUGGCACUCACACAGGCACCAUAGGAGAUGACCUGUGGGACAACAACAGAAGCACUGCAUGAACCUCCCUGCCAUGACUACCACAUAACAUGUUCUAGUGGUGAAUUGGUCCCUUCAAUAGGUACCUAAUGGUGUUUGUGCUCAAAAAGUAAACUUUCCCAGUUA
Long non-coding RNA from Scylla paramamosain (green mud crab), 347 nucleotides. RefSeq lists it as uncharacterized. Lineage: Eukaryota; Metazoa; Arthropoda; Malacostraca; Decapoda; Portunidae. The transcript is spliced from 2 exons. The record is from RefSeq and is a predicted model, not a curated record.